GUGCCAGCCGCCGCGGUAAUACCGGCAGCCCAAGUGAUGGCCGAUAUUAUUGGGCCUAAAGCGUCCGUAGCUGGCCGGACAAGUCCGUUGGGAAAUCUGCGCGCUCAACGUGCAGGCGUCCAGCGGAAACUGUCCGGCUUGGGGCCGGAGGACUCGAGGGGUACGUCUGGGGUAGGAGUGAAAUCCCGUAAUCCUGGACGGACCACCGGUGGCGAAAGCGCCUCGAGAGGACGGACCCGACAGUGAGGGACGAAAGCCAGGGUCUCGAACCGGAUUAGAAACCCCAGUAGUCC
Molecule: ribosomal RNA, 293 nt
Filed under: uncultured bacterium
Lineage: Bacteria
Description: partial 16S ribosomal RNA
Rfam family: Archaeal small subunit ribosomal RNA
Source: RNAcentral